AUUGAACGCUGGCGGCAUGCUUUACACAUGCAAGUCAAACGGCAGCGCGGGCUUCGGCCUGGCGGCGAGUGGCGAACGGGUGAGUAAUGCAUCGGAACGUGCCCAGUAGUGGGGGAUAGCCCGGCGAAAGCCGGAUUAAUACCGCAUACGACCUGAGGGUGAAAGCGGGGGACCGAAAGGCCUCGCGCCAUUGGAGCGGCCGAUGUCGGAUUAGCUAGUUGGUGGGGUAAAGGCUUACCAAGGCGACGAUCCGUAGCUGGUCUGAGAGGACGACCAGCCACACUGGGACUGAGACACGGCCCAGACUCCUACGGGAGGCAGCAGUGGGGAAUUUUGGACAAUGGGGGCAACCCUGAUCCAGCCAUGCCGCGUGCGGGAAGAAGGCCUUCGGGUUGUAAACCGCUUUUGUUCGGGAAGAAAUCCUCUGGGCUAAUACCCCGGGGGGAUGACGGUACCGGAAGAAUAAGCACCGGCUAACUACGUG
This 484-nucleotide ribosomal RNA is filed under the name uncultured bacterium. Its description in RNAcentral is "partial 16S ribosomal RNA". It matches the Rfam family "Bacterial small subunit ribosomal RNA", at positions 29 to 507 of the family's 1533-position model. The record is from RNAcentral.